GACGAACGCUGGCGGCGUGCUUAACACAUGCAAGUCGAACGGAAAGGCCCUGCUUGCAGGGUGCUCGAGUGGCGAACGGGUGAGUAACACGUGGGUGAUCUGCCCCUUACUUUGGGAUAAGCCUGGGAAACUGGGUCUAAUACUGGAUAGGACCAUGCUGUAGGUGGUGUGGUGGAAAGAUUUUUUCGGUAAGGGAUGAGCUUGCGGCCUAUCAGCUUGUUGGUGGGGUAAUGGCCUACCAAGGCGUCGACGGGUAGCCGGCCUGAGAGGGUGGACGGCCACAUUGGGACUGAGAUACGGGCCAGACUCAUACGGGAGGCAGCAGUGGUGAAUAUUGCACAAUGGGCGCAAGCCUGAUGCAGCGACGCCGCGUGGGGGAUGACGGCCUUCGGGUUGUAAACUCCUUUCAGCCAUGACGAAGCCUCUUUUGGGGUGACGGUAGUGGUAGAAGAAGCACCGGCUAACUACGUG
This 471-nucleotide ribosomal RNA is filed under the name uncultured bacterium. Its description in RNAcentral is "partial 16S ribosomal RNA". It matches the Rfam family "Bacterial small subunit ribosomal RNA", at positions 28 to 507 of the family's 1533-position model. The record is from RNAcentral.